UAUUCCCAGUCUGCCAUGCACUCUAGGAAGGCCAUGCACAAGAGGAAAUACUCAGUGACUAAAUCCAAGGUUGAAAAGAAAAAGAAGGAGAAGGUCCUUGCCACUGUUACAAGACCAGCUGGUGGUGACAAGAAUGAUGGCACUCCUGUGAUUAAACCUUGCAAAAUGCCUAGGUACUAUCCAACCGAAGACGUGGCUCGAAAGCUGUUGAGCCACGGGGCAAAAAACUGUUUAGCCAACACGUGAGAAGACUGCAAGCUAGCAUCACUCCUGGGACCAUCCUCAUCAUCCUCACCGGAUGCCACAGAGGCAAGAGGGUGGUUUUCCUGAAGCAACUGGGCAGUGGCUUGUUACUUGUGACUGGACCUCUGUCCCUUAAUUGAGUUCCUCUGCGAAGGACACACCAGAAAUUUGUCAUCACCACCACCACAAAAAUUGAUAUCAGCAAUGUGAAAAUCCCUAAGCACCUCACUGAUGCUUGCUUCAAGAAGCAACAGCUGCGGAAGCCCAGAUACCAGGAGAGUGAGAUCUUUGACACAGAAAAGGAGAAAUAAGAGAUUACAGAACAGCGCAAAGUGGAUCAGAAAGCUGUGGACUCCCAAAUUUUACCAAAAAUCAAGGCAAUUCCUCAGCUCCAGGGCUAUCUGCUAUCUCUGUUUGCCCUGACAAAUGGAAUUUAUCCUCACAGAUUGGUAUUCUAAAUUUUUACAAAGAACCUAAUUAAAUAACUGAAAGAUAAAAAAA
This is a non-coding RNA of Microcebus murinus (gray mouse lemur), 744 nucleotides long. NCBI's taxonomy places the organism in Eukaryota, Metazoa, Chordata, Mammalia, Primates, Cheirogaleidae. The record is from RefSeq and is a predicted model, not a curated record.